Molecule: long non-coding RNA, 663 nt
Organism: Camelina sativa (false flax)
Lineage: Eukaryota; Viridiplantae; Streptophyta; Magnoliopsida; Brassicales; Brassicaceae
Source: RefSeq, a predicted model, not a curated record
UGCACAAAACCUAAAAAAACUCCAAUUGAAUUUGAGAGGCUCGAAGGAGGAGGAGACAAAGCAACGUGAGUAUACGUAUGGGGAAGAGUGAGGAGAGAGAAGCAAAGCUUUGAUUUUGAGGAAUGAUGCAGCGAAUGAAAUCAGAGUUGAUGCUGCCACCGACGCUUCUCUCUCACUGUAACGCUUUUCAAUCUCGGAUUUUAAACUCACGAUUUUCAGUAGAUUGGAUGAUUUGUGAUUUGGGUCUUUCAAUUUCCAAAUUGAAUGCAAGAGUUAGCUAUUCUUGAUGAUUUUGCGGAGAGAAACAAGAGCUUAGACGAGAUGGUAAAAUAUCUUGCAAACGAACCUUUAGUGGAGGCUUUACUACAUUCGACAUCACGUCUAAAAUGCAGCACCAUAUGUUCUUAAUCUUAACAUCAACGUUUUGGAGAAGUCUCGUGAAACAUGCUUGCAUACCGAAGACUUGGAAGAUUUUAUAGCCAUGGUGAAAUCAAUGAAAGAGUCUGAUUCACCUGUCAUCUAUAUUUGUUGUUAGACAUCUAUGAUGGUUGUGAAACAUUUUUAUAUUGUUUUGAUACUUGUAUGAUGUUUCUGCACUAUAAGAAUGUCAAAGUUUCUAUUAUACAAGUUAGUAGUUGUUGAGGUAACUGUGACUGAGUUUGC